Long non-coding RNA from Piliocolobus tephrosceles (Ugandan red Colobus), 2299 nucleotides. NCBI's taxonomy places the organism in Eukaryota, Metazoa, Chordata, Mammalia, Primates, Cercopithecidae. The record is from Ensembl.
UAAGUAUACUUUAUCGAGUUUUAACUAGUAAUACAUAUAUUUUUAAUAAUAUUCUUGUUAUUGUAUCAUAUAAAAACAAGUACUUAUAUACGAAAGAUGCCAUUGUUAGUGAUGGUGGUACUGGUGGUGCAGGUGAUGGUGAUGUUGAUAAUGUUGGUAUCGAUACUGACAUUAAUACAACAAACAUAUAUGAUAGCAUUUCAUUAAAAAGAUAUAGUCUUGGUAGUUUGAAUAUUUGCAAUAAAUUAAAAAAUAUAAUGGUAAAUGAUCGUAUUAAAACCAUAUAUGAUAAUAUUUUUAGUAUUGAUAAAAAAAAUAAAAAAAUUGAACUAAGUAAUAAACGUUUUGUUUACUAUGAUUAUUUAUUUAUAUGUUUUGAUAAAGAAGACAUUACUACAUAUAAUUUCCAAUUAAAUAGUUACCAAGCAGGAAAAAAAAAAAACUUUAACUUUAUAGAACAAUAUAAAAAUGAAGACUACCAAAAUGAAAAACUUUAUUUUUUAGCUAAAGCCAAAGACUAUGAAAAAUAUGAAAAGCUUGAAUGUUUACAUUUUGAUAGAAGAGAGGAAGAAAAAAGAAAAAAAAGAAAAAAAAAUGAAGCAAAAAAUGAAGCAAAAAAUGAAGCAAAAAAUGAAGCAAAAAAUAAGGCAAUAGAUGAGGCAACAGAUGAGGCAACAGAUGAGACAAAAAAUAGAGAAAAAGCAAGAAAAAAAGAACGAACUGUUUAUAAAAAAAAUAUACAUGGAAAAAAAGAAGAUGACGAAUACACACAAUCUAGCUCAGACUCAAAUGAUGUAAAUACGAUUGGAAACAAAAUAAAAACAAAUGAACAAAAUAAAUUAAAUAACAAGAACAAAAUGAAACAAUUAAAUAAAUACGAGAGCCAUAAUAAAUGGGUAAAGUCUAAAAAUGUAAAUAAUAAAGAUGAGAUAACUCAAGAGAAUGUAGGAGAUAGUGAUGAACAAAGUGAUAGUUAUAGUUAUUCUACGUUGUCUUCUAGUUGUUUACGGACCAGCGAUGAAAGUGAUGGUGAAGAAAAAAAGGAAAAAGAAAAAAGAGGAGUAACAGAUGAGGGUUAUGUAGAUAAACAUAUGAACAAUAUUAAUGUUAAUGAAAAUAUAGAAAGUAGUAAUAACAUAAGCGAAAAAUCAGACGAAAGCGAUACUGAUUCGGAUGAUAAUAAUACUGUGAAAACUGAAAAAGUCAAAAAAAAUGAGCACACAUUUGAACCACAGUGUUAUAAUAAACAAAUAAAAAAAGAAAUAAGAAAAGGAAUAAAUGACACAGUACCACAAACAAAAGUACAUAUAUCGGACCUAGAAGAAAUAAAUGAAAAAAAACAGGAAAAAAAUAAUAAAAAGAAAAAACAUGUAACCCAAGAUGGGACAGAUAAUGAUGGUGGAAGUAAUGACCAUAGUAGUGAAGAACAAGUAACUAAGGAAGACUCAAAUGAACCAACGAAAAUAUACACAUCGUCAAAAAUGUAUGAAAAUAAAAAUAGUUUCGAUAAGAAUUUAAGUCGAAACGUUGACGGAGUGUUUAGCAUUAGUGAUCCAUUUCUUGAAAUUUGUUUUCAUAAAAAUAGUAAAUAUAUGAAAAUAAUAAAACAAUCUAUUAGUUAUAUAGUUUUAUAUAGUAACAACUUAGACAUUUUUAAUAUGGUGACUUUUUUUUUAGAAAAUAAUAUUGAUGCAUAUAAAUUGAUUAUUAUUUACCCACAUAUAUGUAAUAAAUGUUAUGAAAAAAAUACAAUAGAAAAUAUAAAAAAUCAGAUAUUUAAUCAAAAAAAAUAUUACCAACAUAAUAAACAUCUAAUGAAAAAUUAUUUAUUUUCAUGUGAUAGUCAUAAAAAUAAUUUUUAUCAUAAAAAUUAUGUUUUUAAUAAUAUUAAAUACGCUUUGAAUAAAGUCUUUUAUUUAUUUACUUUUUUAAAAAUACGUAUUAUAUAUGGUCAAAUAGUAGGUUUGAAAAAAAAUAAAAAUAAUCGAUUAAAACACAUAAUUUUACGCUUAUGUAGACAUAAAAAAUUAGAUCCAUCGAUUGUACCAAAUCAAAAUUUUAUUAAUAAAAAUACUAUUUUACUCCCAUGUAGAGUCUUAUUAUCUUCGUAUAUAUUUGACAUAAACAACCAUCUUUACUACAUUCUAAAUAAAUCAUCGAUAGUUUACAAUGAACAAAUAUGCGUCAAUCACAACUUUCAGGUGGGACACUAGUACUUGUAUUCUUACAUAUACGUAUUUGCUUAUGUUUGCACACCUGGCUAUGUACACACUAUCUUUUUUUUUUUUUUUUUUUUUUU